Macaca mulatta (Rhesus monkey) is the source of this 430-nucleotide non-coding RNA. NCBI's taxonomy places the organism in Eukaryota, Metazoa, Chordata, Mammalia, Primates, Cercopithecidae. The record is from RefSeq and is a predicted model, not a curated record.
CAGGAGAAUGGCGGGAACCCGGGGGGCGGAGCUUGCAGGGAGCCAAGAUGGCGUAAACUUACGUUUACUCCCGGAAAACUGAGGCCCCAGAAACCCCGCGUAACCGGCCUAACGCACGUAGCUCUGGGAGUCAUGGUGAUUACACUGAAACCCAUCAGCCUGACACUGUGACGCAGGUUGAAAUCUAUUGCCUUGGGUUAGGUCAAUCUGCCCAGAGAGAGAUUUUGCUGUGAGUGGCUUUAUCAACUACUGAGAAUGUGCAAUCAACUGUGGAUUCUUCUGGAGUCUUUUGGGGGCCUUUUAAAGUAAAUCAGACAUUGGAGCACACAGUUCUAAGAAGCAGCCAGUAAAUACACUUUAGACAUUAAACAUUAUCCAACAGGUUCGGUUCGUUUAAGUGUCCAAAUAUACAAGUAAUUGUUUUAACAUA